This is a non-coding RNA of Salmo salar (Atlantic salmon), 54 nucleotides long. NCBI's taxonomy places the organism in Eukaryota, Metazoa, Chordata, Actinopteri, Salmoniformes, Salmonidae. The record is from Rfam.
UGCACGCAUGAUUGUAAGUCGCUUUGGAGAAAAGCGUCUGAUAAAUGGCAUAUA